UACCUAUGUAUGCGUUUAUAUAUGCAUACAUACAUAAACAUAUACAUACAUAUACACACAGACAUACAUAUAAACGGGAUAAAUAUCAGUUAAGACACAGUAAAGGAGUAAAAGACAAAUUCUAGAGAAGGGAUAAAAUCAUAGGGGUAAAACAAAAUCAAAGGCAAGGUCAUAGAAGUAGGUUUUGAGUUGCUUCUGAAAACUGUCAACCGAGGUUGCCUGUCUAAUAUGAGGAGGGAGCAUGUUCCAAAUCCUCUGUGCAUAACAGCUGAAGGCAGCGUCGCCAUACCUCUUGCUGUUCGUCAGUGGCACCUUUAGCAGACCAGCACCAUGCGAUCUGAGGGAGCGAUUUGAAACAUACUCCGACAGGCAAUCUGACAGGUAAGAAGGUGCUAGCCCAUUCAGAGCUUUAAAAACAAGUAAAAGAAUUUUAAAAUCUAUCCUCAAUGUUACUGGGAGCCAGUGCAAAGAUGCUAACACAGGAGUAAUGUGAACUCUUUUACUGGUUUUUGUUAGAAUUCUUGCUGCAGAGUUUUGGACGAGUUGCAGUCUAUCAAUAGUUUUUUUUGGCAAACCAGUAUACAGUGCGUUGCAAUAAUCUAACCAUGAGAGUACAAAGGCAUGAGUCAGGUUUUUUCAUCCUCCAGGGAGAGGUAUGGUCUGACUCUUGUGAUGUUUCUCAGGUGAUAAAAGGCUGUUUUAGUAACAUUGCUGAUAUGAUUGUCGAAAUUGAGGUCAGGAUCAAGAAUGACACUCAGGUUUUUCACUAUUGGUUUUACCUGUAGGGCCAGAUUUCCAAGUCUAUUUAUUAUUUCAUCUCUUUGAGCGUCUGUGCCAAUGAUAAGGACUUUGGUUUUGUCUUCAUUUAAUUUGAAAAAGUUGCCAUUCAUCCACUGCACAAUACUAGAGAAGCAGUUUAGUAGAGGGUGUAGGGUAUCCUUAUUGUCAGGUGCUACAGAUAAAUACAGCUGGAUGUCGUCAGCAUAGCAGUGAAAAUGAAUCCCAUGGUUACGAAUAAUUUUGCCAAGUGGAAUCAUGCAAAGAGAAAAUAACAAUGGACCAAGGAUCGAGCCCUGAGGAACACCAUAGAGAAUGCUUCGCUUCUCGGAAACAUAGUCACCAAGACUAACAGAGUAGUUUCUGUCUGUGAGGUAGGUAUUAAACCAGCUCAGUGUGGUUCCUGAGAGACCAAUCCAGCUUUCGAGUCCGUUCAGAAGUAUCUCAUGAUCAAUGGCGUCGAAUGCAACGGUCAAAUCGAGGAGAACAAGGACAGAAACGUUCUUUUUAUCUGCGCUCAUUCUAAGAUCAUUUAUGACUUUAGUGAGAGCAGUCUUGGUGCUAUGUUUACCUCUGGAACCAGACUGAAAUGUUUCAUAAAUAUCAUUGUUAUGUAAGAAAGCCUCUAGCUGUAUCAACACUGCCCUUUUCAGGAUUUUACCUAGAAAGGGCAGAUUGGAUAUGGGCCUGUAGUUACUCAGAGCAGAGGAAUCCAGAGUGUGUUUUUUGAGCAGAGGCCUAACUAGAGCAGUCUUUAGUGGAUCCAGGAAGAUAUCUGACUCUAAGGAACAGUUUAUAAUGUCUAGAACAUCAAGAAUAAAACUAUCUACAACCUCUUUAAAAAAGGAAGUGGGGAUGGCAUUGAGUGAGCAGGUGGAGGAUUUCAGUUGAGAGAUGAUAUUCCGGAGUUCCCCUUCACUAAUUUUCCUAAAAAAGUUAAGAUUUCCUCGAGCAUAUUUUUGAUUGGUAGUGUUUAUAAUACUAGUCCUGAUGCUGACAAUCUCAUUUUCAAAGAACGAGGCAAACUCCUCGCACUUUGACUGUGAGGGAAGAUGGAUAUGCUUGUUAAAGUGGGUGGGUUUAAGGAGACGGUCAGUGGUUUCAAAUUGAAUUCUGGGAUUAUUCUCAUUGGCGUUAAUAAUUUUAGAAAAAUAUGCCUGCCUUUCACAGCGCAAGGCAUUGUUAUAAGCAGAAAUAGAUUUUAUGAGACUCUUGUGGUGGACUGUUAGUUUGUUUUUCCUCCAUGCACGCUCUGCUCGACGGCAUUCCCUCUUUAGGAGGCAUUUUUGCUCAUUUUUCCAGGGGGUGGCCUUAGUUUGUGAUUUCUUUUAUAUUCUCUCUGGUGCCACUAUGUCUAAAGAUGACCUUAAUUUAUGAUUGAAGUUAUUAACCUUUUCAUGGAUUGAUGUAGGUUCAUCAGAAAAAGCUUGACUGUGCAUAUGGUUUGAGAACAUAGCGGCUGGGGAGGGACCAAGAAAUCAUCUUUUAGUAAGAUGCAAUGAGGAGUGGAAGGAAAACUUUCGCAUGUCCAGAGCAUCACUUGUAUCUUUGAGUGAGCUCCUUUGUCCUUACACUGAAAGGGAAUCAACAGUGAUGAGAUCUUCAGUAGGUGUUUUGAAAAACGUAGCCUGUACACUUUACUACAUAAGUGAUAAGGGGAGGCUGCAGAAGACAGCAAACACCUCUGGCUUAUCCUGACAGAGUGUCUUGAACAUUGUAAGGCAGGUCUGUAAAUCAGUAACAGUCCACCUAGGCCCACAGUACAUUAGGGUGCCUUUCACUGAACCCAAAGCAGAACUUGUCAAGGGGGUUUACUGUGCCCAUGGUAUGCCGCAGUGCUUGGUAGCAAUCAAUGGGACUUGAAAUUAAACAGCCACUAUGGAUUACAUCAAUGGAAAGGGUAGGUUUUCAUUUAACGUCCAAGCCGCAUGUGACUAUAAGUACGAAUUCAUCUGUGUUGUGAUCAUAUGGCCCGGAAGCAUUCAUGACACUGAAGUGUUUGCCAAUUCCCAGUUGAACGCUCAGUUCAACACCAAUUUUUCUGCUUGGGGACCCGGCUUAUCCCUUAUUGCUCUUCCUCAUGAAGGAAUAUGCAAAUGGUGGCUGCAGCGCUGAAGAACAGUACUUUGGCUUGUCUGUGUCAAAGCGGAAUGGUAAUUGAAUGUGCUUUUGGGCGAUUGAAGGCGAGGUUUGGAGUGCUUAGAAGGGCUAUGGGCAUAAACCUGAAUGACCUUCCUUUCGUCAUUUAUGCAUGUUUUGUCCUACAUAAUUAUUGUGAGGCCUGUAAAGAGACAGGGGAUGACAGCAAAGUGAUGACAGCCAUGCAAUUUGACCAGGCCCCCCCACGCAGAAUAACUGCUAUCAAACAGACUGCAAUGAAGCCGAAGGAAAGUGAGUCAGAAGGAUGUUUACAAAAUUCCUUCACCUUGGUGAUAUCAUAAAUGGUGACAUGUAAUUAAGUUUUUAUUUUUUCUAUGUUCUACUUUUUUCUUAUGUAUAUAAACAUGUUUAUGGAGUUGCAUAUUUUGUUUUUUGUUAUAGAUGUUAAUAUUCAGCAACAACAUAACGUAAUUGUGUCGAGCCAAAAACAUAAGAUGUCCAUUUUGUUAGUAAGGCCUACAGAUAUACAUGCCAGGUUUUUCUAUUCUUAUGCAAUAUAUAUUUAUAUGUAUAUACAUAAACAUGUGUUCACAUUGAUGGUAGAUAAGAUAAUAAUGUGUAUCAAGGUUUCCACCAGAAAAGUUAUUAAUGCUGGCGUCAGGUGGUAGGGGGGGCAAAAAUACAUGUUAGCAUGUGUAAAGGUGCUACUGGUGAUACAUGGUGUUCAGGCAGUAAAAUGUCCAAGCAUGUCCAAUUUCUUAAAAAGUUUUCCUAAAUUAACGUCACAUCCCAUCAGUGUAAUGUUUUCAGCUUUGUAGAUAUGGCUCGUAAAAUCAGCAAUUACUUUACAAAGCGAGUUUGUGAGGAGGACAAUCAUGAAGGCAGGUGAAACAGCGCAGACAUCAACUGGUUAUUAUAAGCAGUUAUAAAGUACUAAUGCAUGUUACCAAGGAGAUGUGGUAAAAUUGUCAGGUCUGACAGUAAAGCACAACCACAGCAAGUGACAGGGACCGGUGAUGGAGAGGAUCACAGUCAGAGUGCAGGCCAGGACGAGUUAAGGUAGGGGUAUUCAGUUGCCAAGUCAUUAGGAGUGUAUUAAUGCAAAGCCCACGUUUACAUGAUUUCAACAUCAUUUUUUUUAUCUUCCCAGAUUUUCUCAAAAACACAGAGCCAGUGGAUUUGACCCACAAUGGCUGAACAAAUUUACAUGACAUGUUACCUAUGCCAAAAACAUUGUGCCCCCAUGCUGCAGCUUGCUGCUGGCUUUGUGAGACAGAUGUCCACAUACUACAGGCUGGAUACCUUAAAACAUCAUGACAUGACAGCUAUCCAUAAAGUGGCAGAAGAAAAGGAGAACUGCAUUAGAAAAAGGCAACACUGUUACAAAAGCUGUACUCUUUAAGUUACAAAAAAACUAAUAUAAAAUAGUUGUUAAAAAAAAAAUGACUUUGUUGUGUCUUGAGGGAGAAUACUGCAGCGUGCUAUAGCUACACAAGUGGAUGUGGACCACAGGGCUCUUGAAGGCUGCUUCAAAAUAAUAUAUGAAUGCCUCAAGCAAAAGUGGCCCCACCGCACCAACUAUAAGCCCAUUAUUCUCUUAUGCAAGUGAUUGGGCUGUGCUUAUAUUGAUGGUUUGAAUGUAAAUUCUGCAGCCAUUUAAUUACAUGAUUGUAAAUUGAACAUCUCCAUAUAAUUACUGUCAAGUAGGCCAACCUAAUUACUGUUUUUGCCCCUGGGUCAGUGCCAACACCAAACAUACAAGCAGUCACGUCAUUGAUGAAAUGGUGGAGAUCAUUGGGCAGAUUUUGGAUGACAAGCUGAUGGCAAAGUUGUCAAAAUCCCCAGUGUGGGGGUUAAUGGUUGAUGAAACCACUGACAUCUCUCUGUUGUGAGUUUUUUGUGACCAAAGUGCUGCAUUCGGUUGAAGUGUCUGCUGGGGAUGCUGCAGCUUUGUAUGACACCAUACUAUGUGUCAUCAGAGAUGACAAGACGCUACACCAAGCAACAAGCUGGCCUCCUUCGCCAGUGACGGAGCCUCAGUUAUGAUUGGGAGAAAAACUGGAGUUGGACUAAUUCCCUGGCCUGCACUGUGUGGCACAUUGCUUCAAUCUGGCCAUGUCAGACUGCAUAAAGGAGCAGAGGGGAGUACCAUACCUCAUCAAAUAGGCCAGAACUGUUGGAACAAUCUUCUGUUGCCUCCAGCAACAGGACCAGCAGUCUUAAAGAAAUGGAGAGGCUUUUUGAACUCUCCCAAAUCAAGCUGCAGGUUUGCAGUAUUCAGUGCCAGAUUAUUCACAGAUUUAAUUGAGCUUUUUUGUCAUUAAUUAAGCUCAUCAUUAACUUUUGUAGGGCUAGUUGGGAGUCAAAUAAGGAGGCAACAGGUUUGAUGUGCCUGAUUCUGUCUGCUCUCAUUGCAAACCUCCCGCUCCAAGCCCAGAAUGAGCCAAAAGCUCAAGGACUGUAUUCCUUUGUAAAUGAUCCUUUGUGCCUAAUGCCAAUUGUGCAUGAGAAGAUCCACCGGCAGUUUUUUGGUUUUCCAAAAUAAAAAACGUUUCUUCUGCUAGGUGGAGCAGGAGGCAUGAGAUCAAUACCACAGUCCUUGGUUUUCCUGUUAAUUGAAUGAUAUCUAGCUGAGCUGCCAUGUUUGACCUCAGGUCACAGUGCUGAAAACAACUCUGACACAGCUGAGAGAGAGCAGCAUAGUCAAGGACCGCUGGCAGGCAUGGCGCCGAUCAGAUGCUGGUCUGAAACCUCUGCAGGAUGAGAUACCUGCAUACCUUGAAGAAGAUGGGAGAAGUUCAAGAAGACUUUAGGUGAUGGAGCCGUUUCUAACUGCACUGACUGAGAACAUUGAGAACCGAUUCCCAAACACCAGCAGUUUGUUCUCUCCCAGACAGAUUCUGAUGAACUCUGCAGAGUAUGGCGAUGCUGAGAUGAGGACACAGGCAGAGCAGUUCCCAAGACUGAGGAAGUCUGACCUGGUGUCUGAGUAGGACUCCGACAGACUCAGAGUGAGGAGUCCUGAUCUGAAGACCAAACUUCUGGAGGAGGUGCAUCUGUGGCUUGUAUGUCCACAAUCCUCUGAGCUGUAUCCCAACCUGAGCCUUGCAGCUGCAAUCGCUCCCACAGCCCCAGUCCAGACUGCAGACAUGGAGAGGCUAUUUACUGUACUCAAGAUUGUUAAGACACCACUGUGCAACAGAUGUGUGCUGCAAGGUGGCCAUUGAUGGACCAGACCAGGAGGCCUUGGACUACAAGGAGUGCAUCAAGAGAUUUUAUCAAAUGAAAAACAGGAGGCUGAAAUGUUCUGCCUCUGGUUGUAAACUGUGUAGAUGAAAACAAUGGCUUUAAUGUAUUGUUCAGCUACCCUGUAGCAGGGCCACAUUUUGUUGGUUGUGAAAUUUGUAAAUGAAAGCAAAGGCAUUUAUAUAUUUAUGUACAACUACUCUGCAAGAGGGCCCCCGAGACCUGUAAAUGAAAACAAUAGCUUCUGUUAUGUUUGAUUUGAUUUUAAGCAAUUUUUCUGUUUGUUAACUGUGUAAAUUAACACAUCAGCUUUUAUGUUGCAUUUAAUUUAAUGUUUAACAGGGCACCUUUAUAUAUCUUUUUAAUAAAGUACGUUGCUUGUAAAAAGUGUUUGCUUGAGCCAGUUGAAGGCACAGUACACAUGCAUGUGUGUGCACAUAAUCAGGAUGGUACCACCUCUGCCUCAUUUUCAACCAGGAAAAACAUUGGUAUAUUUUUAUAUUUUACUACCCAGAUCAAAAAAUGAAUUUACACAUAUCAGUCUAUGUUUGUUAGAACAAAGAGAGACAGUAAGACAGUCAUUGACUUUCAAGGUUAAGCAGAAUCAGUCAGUCAGUCCCCAUUGGAGUUCUUGGUGUUUCAUUUCUUCCUUUCUGUUCAUCGUAUAUGUUUCUCCUGAGAGUAACAUUUUUGCCUUGAAAAAAAAGUGAUCAGGGACAGGAAGGUCCAGUGGGAUUUGGCUGAAUGAAAUGACUGAUUCCUUUUUAACCAGCAGCUGGAGAAACACUUGUAAUCUCUCAAAGAUGUCUUUGUUGAAUAUUGAAUAGUGAGUAAGUGAUGGUACGUAUAUUAAUGACUUAGGAGAAUAGUCAGGUUGAUGGUGUCCUGUGAGGCAACCACAUCCAUACAGUAUG
This is a long non-coding RNA of Thunnus maccoyii (southern bluefin tuna), 7037 nucleotides long. RefSeq lists it as uncharacterized. The transcript is spliced from 6 exons. The record is from RefSeq and is a predicted model, not a curated record. Lineage: Eukaryota; Metazoa; Chordata; Actinopteri; Scombriformes; Scombridae.